Molecule: ribosomal RNA, 562 nt
Filed under: Frigoribacterium faeni
Lineage: Bacteria; Bacillati; Actinomycetota; Actinomycetes; Micrococcales; Microbacteriaceae
Description: bacterial SSU rRNA
Rfam family: Bacterial small subunit ribosomal RNA
Source: RNAcentral
GGCGAACGGGUGAGUAACACGUGAGUAACCUGCCCCUGACUCUGGGAUAAGCACUGGAAACGGUGUCUAAUACCGGAUACGAACUUCCGCCGCAUGGUGAGGAGUUGGGAAGAAUUUCGGUCUGGGAUGGACUCGCGGCCUAUCAGCUUGUUGGUGAGGUAAUGGCUCACCAAGGCGACGACGGGUAGCCGGCCUGAGAGGGUGACCGGCCACACUGGGACUGAGACACGGCCCAGACUCCUACGGGAGGCAGCAGUGGGGAAUAUUGCACAAUGGGCGCAAGCCUGAUGCAGCAACGCCGCGUGAGGGAUGACGGCCUUCGGGUUGUAAACCUCUUUUAGUAGGGAAGAAGCGAAAGUGACGGUACCUGCAGUAAAAGCACCGGCUAACUACGUGCCAGCAGCCGCGGUAAUACGUAGGGUGCAAGCGUUAUCCGGAAUUUUGGGCGUAAAGAGCUCGUAGGCGGUUUGUCGCGUCUGCUGUGAAAACUGGAGGCUCAACCUCCAGCCUGCAGUGGGUACGGGCAGACUAGAGUGCGGUAGGGGAGAUUGGAAUUCCUGGU